This 410-nucleotide ribosomal RNA is filed under the name uncultured microorganism. RNAcentral's name for it is "bacterial SSU rRNA". It matches the Rfam family "Bacterial small subunit ribosomal RNA", at positions 509 to 917 of the family's 1533-position model. The record is from RNAcentral.
CAGCCGCCGCGGUAAUACGUAGGGUGCGAGCGUUAAUCGGAUUUACUGGGCGUAAAGCGUGCGCAGGCGGCCCGUUAAGACAGGUGUGAAAUCCCUGGGCUCAACCUAGGAAUUGCGCUUGUGACUGGCGGGCUCGAGUACGGUAGAGGGGGGUGGAAUUCCUGGUGUAGCAGUGAAAUGCGUAGAGACCAGGAGGAACACCGAUGGCGAAGGCAGCCCCCUGGGCCUGUACUGACGCUCAUGCACGAAAGCGUGGGGAGCAAACAGGAUUAGAUACCCUGGUAGUCCACGCCCUAAACGAUGGGUACUAGCCGUUUGGUGCGCGAUAGCGCUGAGUGGCGAAGCUAACGCGUGAAGUACCCCGCCUGGGGAGUACGGCCGCAAGGUUGAAACUUAAAGGAAUUGGCGGG